Molecule: ribosomal RNA, 119 nt
Filed under: Pteropus alecto (black flying fox)
Lineage: Eukaryota; Metazoa; Chordata; Mammalia; Chiroptera; Pteropodidae
Source: RNAcentral
GUCUAUAGCCAUGCUACCCUGAACAAGCCUGAUCUUAUCUGAUCUCAGAAGCUAAGCAGGGUUGGGCCUGGUUAGUUCUUGGAUGGGAGACCACCUAGGAAGACCAGGUGCUGUAGGCG